RNAcentral lists this ribosomal RNA (448 nucleotides) under uncultured organism. RNAcentral describes it as "partial 16S ribosomal RNA". It matches the Rfam family "Bacterial small subunit ribosomal RNA", at positions 332 to 797 of the family's 1533-position model. The record is from RNAcentral.
UACACUCCUACGGGAGGCAGCAGUGGGGAAUCUUGCGCAAUGGGCGAAAGCCUGACGCAGCCAUGCCGCGUGAAUGAUGAAGGUCUUAGGAUUGUAAAAUUCUUUCACCGGGGACGAUAAUGACGGUACCCGGAGAAGAAGCCCCGGCUAACUUCGUGCCAGCAGCCGCGGUAAUACGAAGGGGGCUAGCGUUGCUCGGAAUUACUGGGCGUAAAGGGAGCGUAGGCGGACAUUUAAGUCAGGGGUGAAAUCCCGGGGCUCAACCUCGGAAUUGCCUUUGAUACUGGGUGUCUUGAGUAUGAGAGAGGUGUGUGGAACUCCGAGUGUAGAGGUGAAAUUCGUAGAUAUUCGGAAGAACACCAGUGGCGAAGGCGACACACUGGCUCAUUACUGACGCUGAGGCUCGAAAGCGUGGGGAGCAAACAGGAUUAGAAACCCCGGUAGUCCC